UUUUUUAAAAUUAAAAAAAAGGGAGGAAAAGAAACCAACAGGGAUUGCCUCAGUAACGGCGAGUGAAGCGGCAAAAGCUCAAAUUUGAAAUCCUGCGGGAGUUGUAAUUUGAAGGAGCAGGGUCUUUGUGUUGUACGCGCCCAAGUCCAUUGGAACAUGGCGCCUGGGAGGGUGAGAGCCCCGUCCGGCGUGGCACAGCACAAUCUACGGCCUUGCCCCGAAGAGUCGAGUUGUUUGGGAAUGCAGCUCUAAGUGGGUGGUAAAUUCCAUCUAAAGCUAAAUAUUGGCGAGAGACCGAUAGCGAACAAGUACAGUGAUGGAAAGAUGAAAAGCACUUUGAAAAGAGAGUGAAACAGUACGUGAAAUUGUUGAAAGGGAAGGGCUUGCAAGCAGACACGGUCUUCGGGCCGGGCCAGCAUCGGUUGCCAGGGGUGGAUAUCCCGCGAGAAAUGUGGCUUUGUCCUCUGGGCAAAGUGUUUAUAGUCUCGCGCUGUACACCCACCGGCGACCGAGGCCUGCGAUCUUCGGAUCUAGGAUGCUGGCGUAAUGGUUGCAAGCCGCCCGUCUUGAAACCACGGACCAGGGGGAGGGGGGGA
This 596-nucleotide ribosomal RNA is filed under the name Clavispora opuntiae. RNAcentral describes it as "partial large subunit ribosomal RNA". It matches the Rfam family "Eukaryotic large subunit ribosomal RNA", at positions 29 to 682 of the family's 3401-position model. The record is from RNAcentral. Lineage: Eukaryota; Fungi; Ascomycota; Pichiomycetes; Serinales; Metschnikowiaceae.